GAUGAAGAACGCAGCGAAAUGCGAUAAGUAGUGUGAAUUGCAGAAUUCCGUGAAUCAUCGAAUCUUUGAACGCACAUUGCGCCCCCUGGUAUUCCGGGGGGCAUGCCUAUUCGAGCGUCAUUUCACCACUCAAGCCUCGCUUGGUAUUGGGCAACGCGGUCCGCCGCGUGCCUCAAAUCGACCGGCUGGGUCUUCUGUCCCCUAAGCGUUGUGGAAACUAUUCGCUAAAGGGUGUUCGGGAGGCUACGCCGUAAAACAACCCCAUUUCUAAGGUUGACCUCGGAUCAGGUAGGGAUACCCGCUGAACUUAAGCAUAUCAAUAAGCGGAGGA
This 331-nucleotide unclassified non-coding RNA is filed under the name soil metagenome. RNAcentral describes it as "partial contains 5.8S ribosomal RNA, internal transcribed spacer 2, and large subunit ribosomal RNA". The stretch from base 1 to 120 matches the Rfam family "5.8S ribosomal RNA", at positions 35 to 154 of the family's 154-position model. The record is from RNAcentral.